Molecule: long non-coding RNA, 1291 nt
Filed under: Macaca fascicularis (crab-eating macaque)
Lineage: Eukaryota; Metazoa; Chordata; Mammalia; Primates; Cercopithecidae
Description: lncRNA (ENSMFAG00000057284.1)
Source: RNAcentral
GCAUAGGGGACAUAGAAUUGAGCACUGUUGGGAGGGAAAGUCCUUUCCCUGGUCUUAUGUUUUUGUGUUGAAGGACCUCCAUUGAAAUACAACUCUUGGCCUGUAGUCUCACUCCUCACACACUCCUUCCAGCAGAGAAAUCAAUUACCUAAUGGCGAGGUGGUGACGGGGUGCUAAUUGGGUAGAACAACUCUAUCAAAGGACCGUAAACUUCCCAUUUUCCUCCCUAGAGACAGCUCCAGACUUUCCUUUGGGUGGAGAGGGAGGCUUUGGAUGUGUAUUCGGACAGAGGAGAGAGUUGGCAGUCACGGAGUAUUAAUAGGAUCUUUGGUUCACAAACCUAAUGUCAUUUUCUCCAAUUAGUUUAUCAAUAAUAAAGCUGACAGUUUAACCUCUGUCUGUCUACUGAUCUGUGUUUUAUUUUUCAACUGCUUCUGAACUCAGGAGUAGAAGAAAUAGGCAACUUAUACUGAAUGCCUAAAAUUUUUAAGAGGCAUACAUGUGUAGUAUUUUAGAUUUGUGGCUUUUUUUUUUUUUUUUUUUUUUUUUUUUGGUGAAAGUAAAGUGGGGCAUGAGCCACCACACUGGGCCUAUACUUCUCUUAAUUCAGUCUAAGAUGAUACUGACAUUUAUUUGAAGUUAAGUCACAUUGUUAUGUCUAUAAACUUAGCAUAAAUGAAAACUCUGAACUAAGAUUUUUCGAUCUGGUUUGGAAGUGAAGGUUAGAGCAGUCAAGGAUAUGGAAGAUACAUGAGCUGAGGGUUAAACAGAUCUGGAUUAUGCACAAGAGGGUCAAAUAGCUCUAGGUAAGAAAAAUAAGAACAGAAGGGGACUGAGUCAUUGAUUUUAAUGAAAUAAUGAACGCAUUUUGAACUUCGCUUUUUUUCUCUGUCAUUGACAAUGAAAAUCAGACACGUUACUAUGGGAAAAUAGCUAAUCUUAACUCUUUUUAAUUUCCAAUUUUUCACAUAAACAAAGGUAUACAUGACUUGCAGAAAGGGAAAUAUGAACUUUGAUAUUCAUAUUUUAUUUAUACAGGCAACGUCUGAAAUCUUUCCAUGAUUUGGUGUUGUGGGAGGCUGAAAAACCAUCAUUUGUUCCAACAUAUUGCUCAACUUGUCUUUUCAAAAUUCCCAUGACGAUUGUCUUCUGUGGUUAGGACUGGAUGACAUUUGGAGUUUCUGCCUCAAAAAUGUCAAAAUAGAGUAUACCUAAGCUUUUACAUCUCACCUUGUAAAUACACUACAUCCUGGUUUUACUGUUCUUAAGUAAACAUCUUUCUAGGCACUUA